This is a long non-coding RNA of Canis lupus familiaris (dog), 467 nucleotides long. RefSeq lists it as uncharacterized. Lineage: Eukaryota; Metazoa; Chordata; Mammalia; Carnivora; Canidae. The transcript is spliced from 3 exons. The record is from RefSeq and is a predicted model, not a curated record.
CUACAGCAGACUUUUCCUUUGCUUUUGAAAGCCCAGGCUUUGUGAAAGGGGAAUGCCAGACUAGUUGUGCCUUGCAUUAGCACAGCCCAGGGCCAAAAAUACUAUGACUAUCUGCUGGACUAAAGAAAUGUUGUACCACUCAGAAGGGGAAUUGGUCUAUAUUGAAGCUGGAAAAAAGAAAAACAGAAGGACCAAUGUUGUCAGCUUCCUCACAAUAUGGCAUUCUCAGGGUUCCAAAAGCAAGAUUCCUAGUGAACCAGGUGGAAGUGCUAUCAACUUUUCUGAUCCUGCCUCAGAAAUCACAUCAGUUCCAAUUGCCUGCUGUUUGUUAUAGGAGAGUGACAGUCCCAUCAAGAUUCAGAGAGAAGGAAGAUAGACUCUACCUCUUGAUGGGAAAAUGGCAUGGUUUUAAAGAGCACAUGAGACGGGAGAUAAUAUUGUGCUUUUCCCUGAAAAAUACAACCUGA